CCCUUCGAUGUCCUGGGCUGCACGCGCGCUACACUGAUGUGUCCAGUAAGCACCUAACCUCUUCCGAAAGGAACGGGUAACCUUUGCAAAGCACAUCGUGAUGGGGAUAGAUUAUUGCAAUUAUUAGUCUUGAACGAGGAAUUCCUAGUAAGCACAAGUCAUCAGCUUGUGUUGAUUACGUCCCUGCCCUUUGUACACACCGCCCGUCGCUCCUACCGAUUGAAUGUUCCGGUGAGCUCUUCGGACUGCGCGGUCUGCAGUUUCUGCGUUCCGUGCGGAAAGUUGCGCAAACCUUAACAUUUAGAGGAAGGAGAAGUCGUAACA
This 324-nucleotide ribosomal RNA is filed under the name uncultured eukaryote. RNAcentral's name for it is "partial 18S ribosomal RNA". It matches the Rfam family "Eukaryotic small subunit ribosomal RNA", at positions 1470 to 1796 of the family's 1831-position model. The record is from RNAcentral.